Molecule: ribosomal RNA, 253 nt
Filed under: uncultured bacterium
Lineage: Bacteria
Description: partial 16S ribosomal RNA
Rfam family: Bacterial small subunit ribosomal RNA
Source: RNAcentral
UACGUAGGGGGCCAGCGUUGUCCGGAUUUAUUGGGCGUAAAGAGCGUGUAGGCGGCCAGGUAGGUCUGGUGUGAAAACUCGAGGCUCAACCUCGAGAUGUCAUCGGAAACCAUCUGGCUAGAGUCCGGAAGAGGAGAGUGGAAUUCCUGGUGUAGCGGUGAAAUGCGCAGAUAUCAGGAAGAACACCUAUGGCGAAGGCAGCUCUCUGGGACGGUACUGACGCUGAGGCGCGAAAGCGUGGGUAGCAAACAGG